GACGAACGCUGGCGGCGUGCUUAACACAUGCAAGUCGAACGGAAAGGCCCUGCUUUUGUGGGGUUCUCGAGUGGCGAACGGGUGAGUAACACGUGAGUAACCUGCCCUUGACUUUGGGAUAACUUCAGGAAACUGGGGCUAAUACCGGAUAGGAGCUCCUGCUGCAUGGUGGGGGUUGGAAAGUUUCGGCGGUUGGGGAUGGACUCGCGGCUUAUCAGCUUGUUGGUGGGGUAGUGGCUUACCAAGGCUUUGACGGGUAGCCGGCCUGAGAGGGUGACCGGCCACAUUGGGACUGAGAUACGGCCCAGACUCCUACGGGAGGCAGCGGUGGGGAAUAUUGCACAAUGGGCGGACGCCUGAUGCAGCAACGCCGGGUGCGGGAUGACGGCCUUCGGGUUGUAAACCGCUUUCGCCUGUGACGAAGCGUGAGUGACGGUAAUGGGUAAAGAAGCACCGGCUAACUACGUG
This 468-nucleotide ribosomal RNA is filed under the name uncultured bacterium. RNAcentral's name for it is "partial 16S ribosomal RNA". It matches the Rfam family "Bacterial small subunit ribosomal RNA", at positions 28 to 507 of the family's 1533-position model. The record is from RNAcentral.